GUCACUUUGGCCGAGUGGUUAUGGCGCGGGCCUGCUAGUUUCACAAAGUUUAAAAAGAAGAACACGUGAAAAUAGUAGUCAGCUCGUCUCUUCGGAGGCGCAGGUUCGAAUCCUGCAGGUGACG
Podospora fimiseda is the source of this 124-nucleotide non-coding RNA. The record is from the annotation of a GenBank genome assembly. Lineage: Eukaryota; Fungi; Ascomycota; Sordariomycetes; Sordariales; Podosporaceae.